This 29-nucleotide non-coding RNA is filed under the name Mus musculus (house mouse). Lineage: Eukaryota; Metazoa; Chordata; Mammalia; Rodentia; Muridae. The record is from RNAcentral.
UGAAAAUGUGGGUGUAUUGAAAGGGUUUA